ACGUAACUAUGGCUCUGAGGCACAACUACAAGGUUUUGUUCCGGGAGCCUAGUACCUGGUGGAAGAACAAACCCAGGGAACUGGAGAGACGUACAAGGCACAGUGUUAAAGCAGAGAAGAUCCGUUGGAUGAUGGAAAAUUAUGAUCGUCACGUGACCAUUCAGUCCAUCAUGGGGAGCUCUCACCCCAAUCUACCCCCAUUACGACCCAAGCCCACCCCAUCAGGAGGCCAAACUCCCCCCAACAGGACCCAAGCCCACCCCACCAGGAGGCCAAACUACCCCCCAACAGGACCCAAGCCCACCCCAUCAGGAGGCCAAACUAGCCCCCCAUCAGGACCCAAGCCCACCCCACCAGGAGGCCAAACUACCCCCCAACAGGACCCAAGCCCACCCCACCAGGAGGCCAAACUA
Molecule: long non-coding RNA, 413 nt
Organism: Oncorhynchus masou masou (cherry salmon)
Lineage: Eukaryota; Metazoa; Chordata; Actinopteri; Salmoniformes; Salmonidae
Exons: 3
Source: RefSeq, a predicted model, not a curated record